Molecule: ribosomal RNA, 473 nt
Filed under: uncultured bacterium
Lineage: Bacteria
Description: bacterial SSU rRNA
Rfam family: Bacterial small subunit ribosomal RNA
Source: RNAcentral
AACGCUGGCGGCAUGCCUAAUACAUGCAAGUUGAACGGGAAGUAGCAAUACUUCUAGUAGCGAACGGGUGAGUAAUACAUGAGUAAUCUGCCUCUUUGAUGGGGAUAACUGAUCGAAAGAUUAGCUAAUACCGAAUAUACUGAUUGAGAUGCAUAUUUUAAUGAGGAAAAGNUAAAAAUCGCAGAGAGAUGAGCUCAUGGCGCAUUAGCUAGUUGGUGGGGUAAGGGCCUACCAAGGCGACGAUGCGUAGCCGACCUGAGAGGACGGUCCCCCACACUGGUACUGAGACACGGACCAGACUCCUACGGGAGGCAGCAGUAAGGAAUAUUGGGCAAUGGAGGCAACUCUGACCCAGCCAUGCCGCGUGAAGGAUGGAGGCCCUACGGGUCGUAAACUUCUUUUGUCAGGGAAUAAAGUCGCCUACGUGUAGGCGUUUGCAGGUACCUGAAGAAUAAGCAUCGGCUAACUCCGUG